This is a non-coding RNA of Schistosoma rodhaini, 43 nucleotides long. The record is from Rfam. NCBI's taxonomy places the organism in Eukaryota, Metazoa, Platyhelminthes, Trematoda, Strigeidida, Schistosomatidae.
CUGCUGAGGAGUCCCAUAAUAGGACGAAACGGCCGUCCAGUGC